CCUACGGGAGGCAGCAGUGGGGAAUAUUGGGCAAUGGAGGAAACUCUGACCCAGCGACGCCGCGUGAGGGAUGAAGGCCUUCGGGUUGUAAACCUCUUUCAGUAGGGAAGAAGCGAAAGUGACGGUACCUACAGAAGAAGCACCGGCUAACUAUGUGCCAGCAGCCGCGGUAAUACAUAGGGUGCAAGCGUUGUCCGGAAUUAUUGGGCGUAAAGAGCUCGUAGGUGGUUCGAUACGUCGGAUGUGAAAAUCAGGGGCUCAACCCCUGACCUGCAUCCGAUACGGUCGAGCUAGAGUUUGGUAGGGGAGACUGGAAUUCCUGGUGUAGCGGUGGAAUGCGCAGAUAUCAGGAGGAACACCGAUGGCGAAGGCAGGUCUCUGGGCCAAAUACUGACACUGAGGAGCGAAAGCGUGGGGAGCGAACAGGAUUAGAUACCCUGGUAGUCCACGCCGUAAACGGUGGGCGCUAGUGUGACGAACUUCACGGUUGUGCGACGCAGCUAACGCAUUAAGCGCCCGCCUGGGGAGUACGAUCGCAAGAUUAAAUCAAAGGAAUUAGAG
Molecule: ribosomal RNA, 561 nt
Filed under: uncultured bacterium
Lineage: Bacteria
Description: bacterial SSU rRNA
Rfam family: Bacterial small subunit ribosomal RNA
Source: RNAcentral